RNAcentral lists this ribosomal RNA (497 nucleotides) under uncultured bacterium. RNAcentral's name for it is "partial 16S ribosomal RNA". It matches the Rfam family "Bacterial small subunit ribosomal RNA", at positions 28 to 507 of the family's 1533-position model. The record is from RNAcentral.
GAUGAACGCUGGCGGCGUGCCUAAUACAUGCAAGUCGAGCGAACAGACGAGGAGCUUGCUCCUUUGACGUUAGCGGCGGACGGGUGAGUAACACGUGGAUAACCUACCUAUAAGACUGGGAUAACUUCGGGAAACCGGAGCUAAUACCGGAUAACAUGUUGAACCGCAUGGUUCAACAGUGAAAGACGGUCUUGCUGUCACUUAUAGAUGGAUCCGCGCCGCAUUAGCUAGUUGGUAAGGUAACGGCUUACCAAGGCAACGAUGCGUAGCCGACCUGAGAGGGUGAUCGGCCACACUGGAACUGAGACACGGUCAAGACUCCUACGGGAGGCAGCAGUAGGGAAUCUUCCGCAAUGGGCGAAAGCCUGACGGAGCAACGCCGCGUGAGUGAAGAAGGUCUUCGGAUCGUAAAACUCUGUUAUUAGGGAAGAACAAAUGUGUAAGUAACUAUGCACGUCUUGACGGUACCUAAUCAGAAAGCCACGGCUAACUACGUG